UACGAAGGGGGGCGAGCGUUGUUCGGAUUUACUGGGCGUAAAGGGCGCGUAGGCGGCCAUCUUUGUCAGGCGUGAAAGCCCCGGGCUCAACCUGGGAACUGCGUCUGGGACGGGGUGGCUAGAGAUCGGGAGAGGAGCGUGGAAUUCCCAGUGUAGAGGUGAAAUUCGUAGAUAUUGGGAAGAACACCGGUGGCGAAGGCGGCGA
This 205-nucleotide ribosomal RNA is filed under the name uncultured bacterium. RNAcentral describes it as "partial 16S ribosomal RNA". It matches the Rfam family "Bacterial small subunit ribosomal RNA", at positions 524 to 727 of the family's 1533-position model. The record is from RNAcentral.